GUGGGGAAUAUUGGACAAUGGGCGCAAGCCUGAUCCAGCCAUGCCGCGUGAGUGAUGAAGGCCCUAGGGUUGUAAAGCUCUUUCACCGGUGAAGAUAAUGACGGUAACCGGAGAAGAAGCCCCGGCUAACUUCGUGCCAGCAGCCGCGGUAAUACGAAGGGGGCUAGCGUUGUUCGGAAUUACUGGGCGUAAAGCGCACGUAGGCGGAUAUUUAAGUCAGGGGUGAAAUCCCGAGGCUCAACCUCGGAACUGCCUUUGAUACUGGGUAUCUAGAGUCCGGAAGAGGUGAGUGGAAUUCCGAGUGUAGAGGUGAAAUUCGUAGAUAUUCGGAGGAACACCAGUGGCGAAGGCGGCUCACUGGUCCGGUACUGACGCUGAGGUGCGAAAGCGUGGGGAGCAAACAGGAUUAGAAACCCGAGUAGUCC
RNAcentral lists this ribosomal RNA (425 nucleotides) under uncultured bacterium. RNAcentral describes it as "bacterial SSU rRNA". It matches the Rfam family "Bacterial small subunit ribosomal RNA", at positions 354 to 796 of the family's 1533-position model. The record is from RNAcentral.